AUUUGGGUGCUAAGAAAAAUCUGUUCUCCAAUUCAGGGUUGUAAGCAACCCUCCCCAGCAAAAGCAUUGUUGACUUCUAAUGAAGCAGAGAGGCAUAUGUAGCUCUGAAAUAGAGGUUGCCAAAUGGUAUUCCCAGUGACACAUGGGAGACUGGAGGAAAGGGUCUCCACAGAAAUUCAUCAGUGUGGGGAGAGCUGGUUAGUAGGUAGGCCAUAGAAUUUUCCAGUGACAUCACCAGUAAGCCCUUCACUGGACACUCUAUUGUAUCUAAGAGAUCCCUAGAAUCUUCUGUGAUGUCACCAGUGUUGUGGUGACACCAACUGCCUUUGGGAUAUUACUUCAGUUCCCUUUGGGUUCACAAGCAGGCAUGUUUCGCCAGCUGCUCAGGCUAUUUCGGAAGGAAAGUGUUGAUCAAGGAGAAACCACACCAGGUCAGAGGGAAGCUGACCCCCUCUCUAGUGAAACAGGAAGGAGGAAAUCAUUCUGGGGAAGGCUUGGUGAGUCAUGGGCAGAGUUGGGGAACAUCCUCAAGGAGGUAGGUUUGAGAUGUGCCUUCUAAGACUAGGCCUUACAAGCAGGAGAGUUGGGAUUUUUCAAAGGCAAACCAAGAGUCAGGAGUUCCUGAUCUUUAAUUUGAGAGAAAGACAUAAAGUGGUAAGACUUCAGUGUCUUUUCUUGAAGCUUUUUAACUGUGAGUGUCAAUGAUUGGCAGGAGGAGUCACUGUGAGAUUAACAAUGUGACCAUCCAUGGUUGGGAGUUGAAGCACUUCAUCCUCUAGAUUACUGUAGGUUACAGAAGUCUCUGAUGGCGAGAACAAGGAAGGAUGCACCCCUAGUCAUGAAUUGAGUUCUCAGACACUUUGGGCUGGACCACACUUGGUUAGAGCUUGAUGGUGCUAAGCAUUAUGAAGUCAUUAUGAACUCCAGGAUUAUCUGCACCACAUCUGAUAUGAGAUAACAAUGUCGCAGAUGUUUAUGUCUCAGUCAGAUUAUACAUUUCUGUGCCGGGGUUUGUGUAAUAGUGAGUGUGGUACGCAUAUGGCAUUAGAGGUUGGGAAGAGGGACAUAGCUUAAGAAUCAACCUUUAAGAAAGCUUUUCUGCUCUUUCAGGGAUUCACCCAGUCUCUACCAUUUCCCCUUCCUCAACCUCCUUUUCGGAUUCAGAAUGAUCUAUUCUGCCCAUUGGUUCAAAUAUGCAAAUUCACUUGGGUUUAUCUGUGUACAGGUUUUGGUAGGAAGGCAUCAUCCCAAAAUGUCAUCAGUAAGCAAGAGGAGUGUCUAAAGGAACUGGAGGAGCUCAAAUUUGAAAUCCAGAAGUGUCAAUUCGAGAGGGAUGAACUUUACCAAAUCCUGGACCUUUAUAUCUAUGAUGAGUGGGACCACAGGCUGCAUGUCGAAUUGCCAAUACUUCAAUCUGAACAUGAGAUGAGAAUGAUGGCUAUGCAAAUGAUGACCAACUCAAUAAGUGAUGCCAUGGAGAGGUACAAGGAGCUCAUACAAGUGAACAGUUCCUACCGGUGAGUCGCUGACAGAGAUGAGAACCCAGCACUAGGCAGGGAAUGCUUCUGUCCUGUAUGACUUUAACAAAAGUCAGGGCUCUGGUUCCAUGGUGUCUGACUCUUAACAAGAAGCCUGCCUCCUGGCAAGGGUCUUAGAUUUGUAGCUCUUGGACUCAGUUGUCGUACAUGUGAGGGGUGUAGAAGACCCUCCAAUUGUUAUUUUCCCCGUUAAAGAUCCUCUAGAUAGAAAAGGUUUGCACCAUGAUGGGAAUAUCAAUCAACUCUGAAUCUCUAGGACUCUGACAGGAGAUAUAAAGAUCUGUGAUCCAUGAGAAACAUAUGGAAAGAUUGUAUAGCUAUUGGGUCUUCAACUACCCCUCAGAGGGGCUUUCCCCACAACGUGAAGAUGGUUUCACCAUACCAUGGACAUACGAGCUCCCUUAUGGACCAUCUCUUCUUCCUUGAUUUAUAUAAACCGUCUUAGUGUCAGGAUUUUCAGAAGUACUUUGCUUCAUGUGGAAUGUGGAUUCUGGAUUUGACCUCCUCUAAUUGGUGUUAAUUUGUAUAGUGUGGCUCUAUUCUGGGGAUUUCUGAGGAUGAGGACCCUUGAAGGGAUGAUUGGACUUGCAGGAGUGACAGGCAAAUAGAGGCUGGCUGGGAUUUACUAUUUUUUUUUGUGGUUCAGCAUCAGGCAAUCCCAGCUCCUGCGUGAACAAGCUCAAUUGAAGAACAAUAUACAGAUUUUGCUGAAUGAGAAGAGAGAACUGCUGGUGGAGCAGACUGAACUGCCAGCAUCCUCUGUGGAGGCAAAGAGGUUCUGUUAAGAGGCCGGAAUGAACAUCUGUGACCCCAGAGCCAAGCAACAGCAGGUAGGGUUAGGACUCAGGUCAGGUGGUCCUCAUGUCUUACCAUAAACAUAGACACACCAAUGUAACUGUCUAUUGACUGAUCCAUGUCCUGACCUAGGUCUCAUCCAAGUGUUCAUUCAUGUGAUGGUUUACAAGGCUUUCUGUGGAGAUAGCCCCUUUUCAAGAAACUGCAUGUUUGGAAAUGAAAUGCUCCUGCUCUUUGAGAAUCUGCACUUCAUUAAGGGAGAUAGGUUGAUCACACAGCACAGCACUACAUGCCAUUAUGUAUGGAGGGUGCUAUGUGGGAGCCCCUCUUUAGACUAGAACAGGGCUUUGAGGGAUGAAGCAAAAGCCUGGAGCUCAUUUUCUUUACAGGGAUCGUGUGAGACUCAGGAAGUAAGUAGUUUUCAAGGAGGAGAGCUUGGUGGAAAUGCCAAAGAAAUGGUUCUCAUUGUCAUUUGUGGUGGCUUUUGUUCUUCCUCCCCUCAUGUCCCUGUAUAUGAAGAUGGUGACUUCAUGCUUCAUAGAUCUUGGGUAACUACAGAGCCUGUGUAUCAGCAUGUCAGUCCUGUCUUAUUUGAGUGCUCCUGGAGAGUUCAUAACUGGGCCUUAGAACCUGAAGCUGUUUAGAAGAGCAAGGAUGUGGAAAAGGUUUCUCAAAGGCUGAGGGUUGGCAUGAGAGACUUGAGGCUUCAAGAACAAAGUUAUCCAUAUGUACCCCCAAUUCUCACCAAGAAAGGUGCAUUGCUGUGCUGACCUGCAUCUUAGGGAGCAUGCGGGGAGGCCAGUUCAUGACAUGCAGUUUUGUCCAGUCAUUAUCUAACUUAGUCCUUUAAGCCUAGGUCUCUCAACAAACAUGAAGCUUCCUGUUUUGUGCUGGCCAGCAGUCUUUGCAUCAUUCGUCCAGUUCCAAGAUGAGCCCCCUCUCUUAUUUGUCUCAACACAUUCUUAAACCAUUCAGCUAUUUUAAAAAUAAGGAUUAGAUUUCUUCACUUUACCUGAACAGGUUAUCCCCCGGGAAGAUUCUGGAUUGUCUUAUUGGCUUCACCAUGAUCUUGCAUGGAAUCCUAGAGUGCAACCCUCUGCUGACAUUGCUUUGCUGACUAUAUCAUGGGUACUGCAUUCUUUCAGGAUAGAUUCCCUCUCAAUAUUGUACACAGUGCUGCCUUUCAGAAAAGUCACUGUAUGUUAUUUAUUUAGCCUUUUUCUGACUGACAUUGAGGUUGUUUUAAUAUCACAGGAACUCUAAUGUGAUGAAAUAUUCCUGGGAACUGACCAUGAGUCACUGUCUUCUCUGAUGCUUCCAAAGUCUUCUAUGAAGGAAACAGGGUAGUUUUAGUGAGGGGCCUAUGAUGAGUCAGCAUAGAGCUUGAUGGAGUCUUUUCCUAGAAAUCUCUCUCUUGAGGAUUUGAUGUUGUGUUGUUUAGAGUAUCUGUGCAGAACAUGUAAAUUACUUGUCGGACCAGCAAGUAUCUGCAUAGAAAGUUUUCCUGAAGUGGAAAUGAGUACAGGCCAGGGCAGCACAGCCUGCUUGAGUCUAAGAGACUUGUACACAGCAUUGUUCCCACUAAUUCCUCACUCAACAGGAAAUGUGCUGCAUAAGAGCAAAGUUUUCAUUUGUGCAUGCGAGUGUGUAUCUGUGUGUCUGUGUUUGUGUGAGUGUUUGUGUGUGUGUGUGUGUGUGGUGUGUGUGUGUGUGUGUGUGUUUGCAGUAGUGAACGUGUGUUUCCCUCAAUUCCAAGUUUCAUGAGAAAAGUACUCUAAGCAUUCACUUUACAUCCAUGAAACAUGAAAUAGAGCUGCCCAGUCAUUUGGCAUCUCCAUCUAGCUCUGUACAGCAAAAGGACACAUAAAUUACUAAUUUAUUCUGUUUCCAAAAAUUUCAGAACAGAAUUAUCCUGUGAAGUCUGGGGGAGGAGUGGAAAUAUGUUCAAGUUAGUCGUAUUUCACAGGGGUAACAAAUGGUACAGGCCUAGAGCUUGCAUGUACCUUUUUGUUAUGGUGUAGAAGCAGGACAAUAAAAUCCUUUAGAAAUGCAACCCCCAAAAAGAGGACAGAAAAACACCUGUAAAGUUAGAUUUUCAAGUGAUUACAGGCAAAACCACUGAUCUGCAUUGAAAUCCUUUGGAGCACAUCAAAGGAAUGGAGUACUGGGAGGUAAGGGCAAGGCUUCUCUAGAAAAAUCCAUGAGUUUAUCCUGCUUCUCUGUUCUUUGUGAAUUGUGAAAGCCCACUGGAAGGUUGUGUCACUCACUGUGUCUUCUCCAAGGUUGCUUUCCACAUUGCCUGCUACCAUUUCUUUCCAGCUACCUUGGCACACUACAACUUCCCGUGGGAGUUGGCUUGGAUUUUAUUCAUUGAGAAUUUGAGUUGCUUGGAAUUGUAUCGUCAUCCAGAAAAAGUCCCAUAGCUAUGCUGUGGUGCAAGAACAGGCCAGUUUCAGGAACCCCUUUAGGUGCACAGAUAAUCCAAAGCGCUCCCCUAUGUUAUCUGUGUAGCAUUCUGCAAGUGCUGUCAAUCAACAUCAUUUUCUCUCAGUUAAUUUCAGCCUCAAUGGGUUAGGAGAAAUGAUGAGCUUCAAAUGGGUCUGACAGUGUAAGAACAGGUAGCCCUAUGAGAAGCCAUGUUCAGAAAGUGGAACAGAAGUUUUAGUUAACCCAGUGAUUCCACAACAAGGAGUAGGUAUUGCCAUUGCAACUAGGGAGCAUCAAUGUUGUAGUGGUCCCAGAGUAGCCCUGAAGGAGAAUCUAUCCAGACGUCCAUCAGCCAAGGAGUAAAAGUGUACCAUACGAUGGAGCCCUUCCAUAGAUUCUGAUUCAGUGUGAGAUAAUCCAUGCAAGCGUUUACUUACUUAUUCAAAUUAUCUGUGGAAAAAUCACAUUACGGGGAGAAAAUUUGUUGAUUUGGAUCCUGGUUAUGGAGAUUUCCUAUGAUUCUAGCUUUGGGCAUGAAGUCACUCAGGCUAUGGUAAAGACAGCUCCGAUUAGAAGAAGUUGCACACUUUGGGGAAAGUCUGAAAGAGUGAACAAGAACAAGAGUCUAGUCCACCACCAAUAUAUGAUCCUUUGCUGAGCAACAAGACAGCUCUACACAGCCUUUGGGACUUGCUAAGCCAGAUUGUUAAUGGGGAAAGAACCCUGACUCUAUGACGGUUUAUGGGAGGACAGCACAUCACUGACUGAGCUGUCUAUAGGCUCUGGCCACUAUGUACAUAUCCCACUCAACAUUUUUUUUAUGCCUCCAGCGAAUCCUGGGGAAUCUUUACAUUAAGCAUUAAUGUUCAGGUAGGAACACAGGCUGGAAGAAGCCAUUUGAAUAUCCUUCCCUAUAUAAAUACCCUUUUUGGGUGGAUGACCACCCCACCUGGAUUUCAGCCUCAGGCAGCUAAGGAGCUACUCAGAGUAUUGUUCUGGUACAGUUCAUGUGAAUUUUGCCCAUGAAACAAUAUAUAUGAUCCUCUGGAUUUCUUGCUAUGUUCUACUCCUUUCUUCCUGUGAUCUCUCCGGAAAUAUCUGAGGACAUUUUCUCUUCUGUCCUCUCACAAAUUGCCUUACACUAGCCAUAGACUUACAGGGGUGCUGUUCUGUUUCUACAUCACAAUCACAUUUAAUGUCCGUGUGUACGCUGGGAAGAUUUGCAUGGAGCACAUUCUCAGUGAUUACAGGAUCUAUGCAAUUCCCAUGGAUUUGAUGUGAGAUGGCUUCUCUGUGUAUUUGCAGAUACAGUGGUUACAAAUUGAACCUCCGCAGGUUCCUUCAGUGCUAACGUAAUCAGAAAUUUCACCUCAAUUCUGGGCAUGUUCUCCAGAAGGAAUCCACAUGGUAUUCUAGGUUGCUCGUACCUCUCUUGAACUCAGGUUCAGACAUAGCUACAAUGUUAUUAUUCAAUGUCAUAUACCUGGACCAGUGGGAAAAAAUGCUCAUUUUUCUCUUAAUCCCAGUACAGUGCAUAGUCCACAGUUCAAAUUCUAGCAGUGUUAAAAGCUGAGAUAUAAAUCCAAGCGCAGGUACUCUAUGUCACUUGGGGAUGCAGGGACUGACCUAGGCUGACAGGUCAUGCUGGAUUGUCCAACUGAAUAGAGCUGAUGUAAGAGGGAGAGCUGAACUGACAACCACUCAAUAAAUCUUUAUUCCCUUGCUCUGCUAGGUCUGAAAUUCUCCAGCAGAAACUCGAACAUGACACAGACCAGGACAAGAUCUCCCUUGGAGAGAAAAGCUACAGGAGGAGAACUAAGUGUGCACAGCAAAUACACCACUAUUGCGUCUCACCUGUAGUGUCCAUAGCAAUUGUGGACGGCAUUUUCCUCCUUUAGUUUAACUUCUUUGGAUUGAAUAGGCUGUACUUUCACCUCAGCUCUCUCCAACAAGUGUGCACUUUUUGAGGGACUCAGAGAAGUGUUGAUGCACAUCAAUCAAGAGCUGCUGGUCAUCCAGAAAGACUGUGCACGUGUAAAUUUGUACUUGUCCUGAUGGGUCAUCCAGAAGAGUUUCAUGGAGAUCAGUUCACAACAUUGGAAAGACUUUGUGACAAAGUCUGUAAUAUCAUUUAUACGCAGUAUUGGUAGGCUUUUUCCUUAAUACCCCCACUCCAACAAAACAGACCUACUUCCACUCCUCUCGAGAAGAUUGUUACCAUCACUAACAGCUUUUCUACUAUGUCUCCAAGGCAAGCCACAGCUAUAAGUCUAUUCUGCAAAAGGAGCAGCAAAAGAAUGCUUAGCGCAAUUCUUCUUUUUAAAGUUUGGUUAAUUUUUAAAUGUUUUGGUUAUUUGGUUUUCCUUCUAUUCAUUUGAAGAUUUAUUAUCUAUCUGUUGUUGUUUUGUUCAUUUGCUUGUCUAUUUUGAUAAGGAUAUAGACUGUAUAUAUUGACUACCUGCAUCUGGUUACUAUCAAGUAAAUUGGAUGUAUUCUGGUCAAUAAAGGAGUAAUCUCAAA
Molecule: non-coding RNA, 7280 nt
Organism: Rattus norvegicus (Norway rat)
Lineage: Eukaryota; Metazoa; Chordata; Mammalia; Rodentia; Muridae
Source: RefSeq, a predicted model, not a curated record